CAGUAGCCGCGGGAAUACGAAGGGGGCUAGCGUUGUUCGGAUUUACUGGGCGUAAAGGGCGCGUAGGCGGAUUGAUAAGUCAGGGGUGAAAUCCCGAGGCUCAACCUCGGCACUGCCUUUGAUACUGGGUAUCUUGAGUAUGGAAGAGGUGAGUGGAAUUCCGAGUGUAGAGGUGAAAUUCGUAGAGAUGUGGAGGAACACCAGUGGCGAAGGCGACUCUCUGGUCUGUAACUGACGCUGAGGAGCGAAAGCGUGGGGGAGCGAACAGGAUUAGAGACCCCAGUAGUCCCUGUCUCUUAUA
This 301-nucleotide ribosomal RNA is filed under the name uncultured bacterium. RNAcentral describes it as "partial 16S ribosomal RNA". It matches the Rfam family "Bacterial small subunit ribosomal RNA", at positions 509 to 808 of the family's 1533-position model. The record is from RNAcentral.